Molecule: unclassified non-coding RNA, 606 nt
Filed under: Hevea brasiliensis (rubber tree)
Lineage: Eukaryota; Viridiplantae; Streptophyta; Magnoliopsida; Malpighiales; Euphorbiaceae
Source: RNAcentral
GGCUGAAAUGAUCCUCAGUUUCGUUGUGGAAGCAGCUCUGUCCAGGGUGUCUUCGCUCAUGGCCAAUGAAAUCAUCAGUGCUUGGAAGCUCAACGACGAGUUUAAAGGCCUUCAAGACUCGCUCACCAUGAUUCGUGAUGUGCUUCAAGAUGCAGAGGAACAACAAACGGAAAAAGAAUCUGUGAAGCGCUGGCUGAAGAAGCUCAAGGAAGUAGCUUAUGAUGCUGAGGAUGUCUUUGAUGAGUUAGCCUAUGAGAAUCUUCGACGAAAGGUUGAGAUGCAAGACCAAUCGGGAACAGAGAGGCUUAAUUACCAUUUUUGCUUUUCUAUGGGCGUGGACAAUGCACUAGCUUUAUUUGGAAUACUCAGGUAUUUCAAUUCCUUUCAUCUGCAUUUCUCAAAUUUUUGAUUUCUUCUUCCUCUUUUCUUCUUUGUGAGUAGUGACUUCACCGAUGUGCUAACGCAAAUAUUACAACCUGAAAUUUGAUUAAUUUAUGCAAGGUCUCAGGUAUUAUUAUUUUUGCUAAUCCUCAUAUCUUAUUAUCUUCUCUACAAAUUGCAGAGCUCUACUGUUAAGUAGAUAAAUGAUUAAAUUUGAAAUUUUCU